AACCGAACAGCGAAAAUUCCUUCCAAAAGUAGUAUAGUUGAUUUAUGUUAUCAAAAGUUUUUAAAUUUUCUUAAAACGUAUCGAAGCACUUUUUUAUUAAAACUUCUUCCCCAAAAUGAUCGUGAUAAGAAAGAAAAUGGAAGAUGCCAUUAAGUCAGCGUCGCACUACAUCUGCUCGGUUAUCAAACCUCCCCUAAUCAAAGGUGACCGGGAAUCCGAUCAGAUAACAUAUCUAGAGAGGCGUAUUUUGCCACGUUUGUAUCAAUCGACCUCGGCCUCGGUUCGUCGUACAAAUCCAAUUAGUUGUCGUUUUAUGCAUUUCUACUGAGUAAAGGCGAAAAGUCUUCGACUUCUGAUGCCGUAUAUGGCAGUUUGCCAGAUUUCUUAAUGUCAAUGUCUCGUCCCAUUUUGGAAAUUCGGUCAGAG
This 426-nucleotide long non-coding RNA is filed under the name Androctonus crassicauda. Lineage: Eukaryota; Metazoa; Arthropoda; Arachnida; Scorpiones; Buthidae. The record is from RNAcentral.